Long non-coding RNA from Helicoverpa armigera (cotton bollworm), 822 nucleotides. RefSeq lists it as uncharacterized. NCBI's taxonomy places the organism in Eukaryota, Metazoa, Arthropoda, Insecta, Lepidoptera, Noctuidae. The record is from RefSeq and is a predicted model, not a curated record. The transcript has 3 exons.
UAUCAAAAUGCAAUACAUGAAAUUGAUAUAAUGAGCAAUAAUUCAGACACAGAACCUGACAUAGAAUACGUCUCAUCAAAAAAACAGCGCAAUUGCUCUGAUCUUCCACAGCUGUCAUAUGAUAAUAUGGCAGAAGAAAUUUUAAAGAAUAAUGAGCAUAAUGCUUCUUCAGCAAUAAUACCUGAAGAUGGAGAACAAAUAAUGGUGACUAAUUACGAAAUCACGACACCGAAAGAGUCAACUCCAUCUGAAACACCGUUGAGCGCGCCGCAAGAAAAUAUUGAAAAAUACAUUGUUAUUCCUGAAAGUAAUCAGUCGGACACACCUAUAAUAUACUCGUACAUUAAUAAAGAAACAAGUUUAUCAGAAGAACAAUGCGAAUUAAAAUCCAUGAAAAUAGAUAUCACCACUAUUAAAAGUGACCUAAAAUCCAUAAAUGACGAUAUGAAGACUAUAAUGGGGACCCUGAACACAACACUAAAUAAUCAAGCCGUAUUACACGAAACACUGAAAUCGAUUUUAUUACAAGUGACUGAAAUACAAGUUACGAACGAAGAAUUCAUUAAAAAAUCUAUUACAGAAAAACAAAACCAUUCGUUGAUGUUAAAACCAAUACAAGAUUUAAAAGAUUUAGAAGAGUUUGAAAAUAAAUUGAUGGAUUCUGAUUAUAGAGAAGAUUUACUAAGAAAGUUUAGUGUGUUUGGCACUAAAGGGACAGGAAGGGAAUCACAAGAGCAUAUACAAUUAUUGAUAUUUUGUUUGAAAGAAAGUUUUUCAAAUCGUGUUCGUGGACUGGAGCUUCACGUUCCCAAAAUGAAACAA